RNAcentral lists this long non-coding RNA (2725 nucleotides) under Homo sapiens (human). RNAcentral's name for it is "non-protein coding lnc-PSMG4-18:4". The record is from RNAcentral. Lineage: Eukaryota; Metazoa; Chordata; Mammalia; Primates; Hominidae.
AGCAAUGUGAGAAUGAACUAAUACAAUCAGUAAUUUCUCUCUGUAUAGGUUUUUAUCUCUAUGAUGACUUUUUUUUUCUUUUUAGACAGAGUUUCGCUCUUGUUGCCUAGGCUGGAGUGCAAUGCCACGAUCUCAGCUCAACUCAACCUCUGCCUCCCGGGUUCAAGUGAUUCUCCUGCCUCAGCCUCUUGAGUAUCUGAGAUUACAGGCAUGUGCCACCAUGCCCGGCUAAUUUUAUAUUUUUAGUAGAGAUGGCGUUUCUCCAUGUUGGUCAGGCUGGUCUCGAACUCCCGACCUCCAAUGAUCCGUCCGCCUUGGCCUCCCAAAGUGCUGGGAUUAUAGGCGUGAGCCACUGCACCCAGAUGUGAUGACUUUUUUAAUCAAGAAAAGGUUUAAUGGUUUGAAAGGGAUUACAGGCAUGUGCCACCACACCUGGCUAAUUUUGUAUAUAUAUAUAUUUUUUUUUAGUUUCUCCAUGUUGGUCAGGUUGGUCUCGAACUCCCGACCUCAGGUGAUCCGCCCGUCUUGGCCUCCCAAAGUGCUGGGAUUACAGGCAUGAGCCACCGUGCCUGGCUGAAAAAUAAAUUUUAAUGAGAGCUUAGAGCUUUUUCUUCUGCCUUGUUAACUUUAUCAAUGAUUCCAUUUCUUAAAAGUUAACAUAGAACCUUUAGGGGAGGCUGUGAAAUACAUGUGUAUGGAAUAACCAGCCUACUUUUAGGUAAUGUAACAGAGCAGACUGGAGCCUCCAGGUUCUGCUCACUGCAACCUCCGCCUCCCAGAUUCAAGGGAUUCUUCUGCCUCAGCCUCCCGAGUAGCUGGGAUUACAGGCAUGUGCCACCAUGCCUGGCAGCCUCCGAAAGUGCUGGAAUUACAGGCGUGAGCCACUGCGCCCAGCAACAUUACAAGUUUUAAAGGGAAGUUAAGAAAACCCCAAAAUACCUCACCUUUAAAAAAUAGAUAAAAGCCUACAUUCACAAGGAUAAAGUUUCAAGCCCAAAGAAACACCUCACAGGACCUAGUGGGGAAGGUGGAGCAUCUACACCUGAGUUACUGCCCAUCACACAGGUUGGUGUGAGGAACCAAUGAGAUAAUGUGAAUGAAUUCGGUAUGAUUGAGUUGCUAUCGGAAGCUCAUCUUGCACUUCUAUUAUCUGGAUGAGGUUGCUUUAUUUUAAAAACACCUGACCUCGUGAUCCACCUGCCUCAGCCUCCCAAAGUGCUGGGAUUACAGGUGUGAGCCACUGCACCCAGCCAAGGAAGUUGCCUAGGCCGGUCUCAAACUACUGGGCUCAAGCGAUCUGCCUGUCUUGGCCUCCCAAAGUUCUGGGAUUACAGGCGUGAGCCACUGCACCCAGCCUGCUCCAUGAUUUCUGACACUGUGGUGGAAAUUCCUUUCUACUCCUCCCUCCUCCCAGCCCCACCUGUUCUGCAGCAGAACCCCCAUUCUGAUACUGGUGUGUAUCUCCUCUACCCAUGCAUAGGUGUACAUAAUCAACAUUUAGUAAUGUUUUCUAUUUUAUACAAAUAAUACUUCAUACAGUUUUCUACAGCUUACACUUCACUCAGUUCCAUGUUUUCAAGACUUGUCUCAGUUGAUAUUUGGAGAUCUAGUGUAUUCAUUUUGAACAUCUAUUUCUGCAUUAUUUCUAUGAAUUUAUUAAAAUGUAUGCAUUCGUUUACUUAUUGGUGAAUAUGUAAGUCAUUUUUAAUUGUUCAUUCUCAAAAACAAUGAUUUGCAGGGACCUUGAUACUGGCUUUAACUUUGUUUCUGUUGUCUUUUGUUAUAUAAAAAUAUUACAUUUUCAUUUUGUCAAACUUAUCAAUCUUUUUCUGUUGUGGCUUAUGCUUCUUUUUGACUGCAGUUUUCUUAACAAUUUUCUUAACUAUUAAGAACAUUCUCAGGCCCCCGCCCAGACUUACAGAAUCAGAAUCCACAUUUUCACAAGCCGUUUUGCGGUAGACAAUUUUCCCAUUGAUGGAACGGGGCUCGGGGGGCGGGAGGUGAUGGUGGUUUCAGGAUUAAACUGUUCCAUCUCAGAUCAUCAGGCGUUAGAUUCUCAUAAGGAGCAUGCAACCUGGAUCCCUUGCACGCACAGUUCACGACAGGGUUUGUGCUCCUGGUUCCUAACAGACCACAGACUGGAACCAGGGGUCAGACCCCUGCCCUAAAGGGCUGGCAAAUUCUUCCAGUUAGAAAUAGGUACCCACUCACUGGGAGGUUGGAGGACUGGCUAACUCCCUUGGAAUUUCUCAGGGAUUCCUGAUGAAAGUGAGUGGACUCACUCCCAGGUGCCCAAACACCUGCCCUCUGCUGGGCUGCCUUCCCUCUGAUCUGGUACAAUUAUUGUGGCAAGCUUUUAAUGGGAGGCAUUUGUGUACUGAACUAAGUAUCUGGGUGGCGGAGUCAAUACAGUAUAAAUGUUUUUAGGUCAUCUGUCUUUGAGGUGGGCUGUUCACCUCCUUGUUCCCUUGUGGACCCCACUCUUGGGGUCCUGCAGCCUGUCUUCUUUCCCUCCAUCAGCAGCUCCCAGGGAGAAUGCAUCCUAUCCCUCUGAGGUGCUGUCAUCUGACACCCUCCUGGACAGUCCCCCUCAUUUGUGCUUUAAAGUGUUUGGCAACUGCCCCUUGUCAUCAGCACUCUCAGUCCCACUGUUAUUCUGGUGUCUUUGAUGUGUAUGUGGCUGACCCAACUGAUACCCUGACUUCUCAGCUCCUUGACUUCCUCA